This 445-nucleotide ribosomal RNA is filed under the name uncultured Bdellovibrio sp. Its description in RNAcentral is "bacterial SSU rRNA". It matches the Rfam family "Bacterial small subunit ribosomal RNA", at positions 336 to 795 of the family's 1533-position model. The record is from RNAcentral. Lineage: Bacteria; Pseudomonadati; Bdellovibrionota; Bdellovibrionia; Bdellovibrionales; Pseudobdellovibrionaceae.
UUCCUACGGGCGGCUGCAGUAGGGAAUAUUGCACAAUGGAGGAAACUCUGAUGCAGCGACGCCGCGUGAGUGAUGAAGGCCUUCGGGUCGUAAAGCUCUGUCGCAGGGGAAUAACACAAUGAAUGUACCCUGUAAGAAAGGAUCGGCUAACUUCGUGCCAGCAGCCGCGGUAAGACGAGGGAUCCUAGCGUUGUUCGGAAUCAUUGGGCGUAAAGCGGAUGUAGGUGGCUUUGUAAGUCAGGUGUGAAAGCCUGGGGCUCAACCCCAGAAGUGCAUUUGAUACUGCGAAGCUUGAGUGUCGGAGAGGUUACUAGAAUUGUUGGUGUAGUGGUGAAAUACGUAGAUAUCAACAGGAAUACCGGAGGCGAAGGCGGGUAACUGGCCGAACACUGACACUGAGAUCCGAAAGCGUGGGGAUCAAACAGGAUUAGAUACCCUGGUAGUC